Sapajus apella (tufted capuchin) is the source of this 3341-nucleotide RNA transcript. RefSeq lists it as uncharacterized. NCBI's taxonomy places the organism in Eukaryota, Metazoa, Chordata, Mammalia, Primates, Cebidae. The transcript has a single exon. The record is from RefSeq and is a predicted model, not a curated record.
GAGGGGAGGUGCCGGCCGCCGCGCAGCCCCCGCAGCAGCAGUACUAUCUCAAGGUGCACCUGGGGGAGAACAAGAUCCACACCGCCAGGUUUCACAGCCUGGAAGACCUCAUCCGCGAGAAGCGCCGCAUCGACGCCAGCGGCCGCCUGCGCGUGCUCCAGGAGCUCGCCGACCUCGUGGACGACAAGGAGUAGCUGCCGAGGGGCUGCCGGCCCCGCCGCCUCCCCGCGUCCCGCACCCAUCCAGUCCCCGCACCCGGACUUCGCGGCCGGCGGUUUUCAACCCCAGUCCCCUGGCGCGCCCGCCGCCGGUGGCCGAGGCCCGGGCUGCACCUUCGCACCUCGCUCCCCGGCCAGCGGCAGGAAGUCUCAGGAACUGCCCCGGGGCCGAAAGGGCGCAGCUGAACGGGUGGCGACGGUGCUGGGAGACCCGGCGUGCGCUUUCCCCUUAAGAUGUGAACCAGGAAAGGGGAAGGGGCUGAGGGGAGAAAGGACGUGGCCUCCCCCGCGAGUCCAUGGUCAGUGACUGUGACCCGACCGGGAAACGACCCUCUUCUCAAAAGCCACCAUCACCGCCCCGAGCGCGCGCGCACAGACCGGUCGGAGGCGAGAAUUGGUCUUUUCAGGGCACAGUUCAGCUCCUCUGUGGAUGCGUCCCCAGAUGGCAGGAUUUCCAAGAAAUCGAGACUGUCCCUCGUGCGCUUGGGAAUAAUAAUUCCCCAAGACAGCACUUGGGGAUUCCGGGUUAUCCUGAGGCUGCCCGGGACUUCUCCAGCUCUCCAGCCCCAGGUAACCUGACAUUGUGUUCCAGGCUGCGGGCUAAGCCAGACAGUGUUCGUUCGCCUCCCGUUCUUUCCACCGAGGGAAGUGAACGCCACCCCCACCCGCCUUUGCCUGCGAGUCUCCCUCGCUGGCCGAAGGGAAGCCGGUCGGGUCCCGGGAGGAAGAUGGCGCAGCGAAUUCGGUGAGGACGGCCGGCCCCGCCCCCGACAAGGAACUCGCUCGUUCACCUGGUGUCUGGGAACUUGAAUGUGUGAUGGGCGCUUAUUGUUCUGAACCCUUGAUGGCUCCCUCCUAGGGCUGCAUUUCAAAAAUAGUCAUAUUUUUAAAGGAGUUGGAGGAGAGGGAGGGGGAGGACAUGGCACCAUUCCAGAAACCAGCAUUAUUACAACACCAUAGCCAGUAUGUUUAGUUUGGCUUUUCCUAACAUAGAAAUCUUUGAAGGUGGGGGAGUGGAAAUAAAGUUUAAAAAAUGAGAGAGCAGUUUUCCAACUAUGUCAACAAAGCCUAUCGUGUUGAUGUUUUUAUUGACCAUUUUAGCAACAUGCUAAUAAAAUUUCAAAUUGAAAUUUUUAUUUUCAUGGCUUUAAUCCAUGAUAGUUUAAAUACUGGGGGCCAUUAAGAGUGGAUGUAGCUAAGAGCUUAGCUAACAUUGCCUUUUCACUCUAUUUUUCUCAAAUAUUAUAAGAAUUCUGUUUUUGACUAUUGUAGUUUUUUGGCUUUAAACAGCAGCCCUAGUAAUGGUGGAGUUGUUAAUGAAUGUGUAUAUUGUACUGAAUUUCUGUCAGUUAAGGGGUUCACUGCUUUGGUGGAAAUUGCUAGCAGGUUCCAUGAUGUUUCUUUUAUCCAUGUUGUACCUCAUCACCAUUUCACAUUUGCAUUUCUAUUUUUCUUCUUCUCCUCCUGAUCUCCUUAAAACUGAAUCUAGAGUUGGUGGCUUUUCCCCCUCCUCUUUAGCCAGUUUCACAGUUCAAUUCUUGCUGAAAACAGGGAAGAACUAGUAGGAUCAGGACAAAUGCUUGUUUUUCAAAAACUGAAGGCUGGGUGUGAAACCCCUUCCUUAGACAAGGAUUAUAAACUUCUCUCCUCCUGCUGCAGCCCCAGCCUAACUGAUAGUUACUUGAUUCAAUGUGUUAGACGCUUAUAGCAUUUAGGUCUCUUUCAAGGGAAUUUGUCAAAUAAUGCUGUUUAGCUAAUUGUUGCAAGCAAUUGCACAUUAACAGCUGUGAUUUGGUUGGUCAGAAAGUAUUACGACCAAAGCCAGUUUCUUGGCAUUUCAAAAAUAAUGCAAUAAAAACUAGUUGAGGUUACCUGAGACUGAAAAUGCCUUUUUCAUGGUAAAUGAUUCACUUCUAUUUUUUUUUCUUUCUUUUCUUCUUUAGUUUUCAUCCUGGAUUCAUUCCCUGAUCUUAAAUCAAAAGGUCAGAUCAAUGAAAUAUGAACUAAAGUAUUUUUCUUAAGCCUAUUGAGUGAUUUAUUUUUUAAAAAAUGUUCAAAUGCAUAUGCUUUUCUUUUAGCACAACAGCAAAACUUUUGUAAUAACUAACUUACCCUUGCAUGUAUAAAUAACUGAAAGUCAUUUAUUUCCCUAGCUUAUUCCUCUUUCAAAUAACAGGUGGCAGAUCAUAAAACGAAAUUCUAAAUUGUAUCUACACAUUCCACAUUCCUUACUGUGUCCUACUACUGUAUCUUGGCUCCCUGCUGUAUUAAACACCAUCUUAAGCACUUGUUCCUGCAGGACUCCUUCUUGACAUUUUGUCUUCCCCCUCAAAGUCACUCAAGGGUGGGACUUCAUCAAAAGAAAUGAAUUAGUCUCCAUCACACCUAAUACUAAGAUUUAUUUCCUCUGAUGGUAUGUAGAUUUCUCUCUCACUAAGAGGAAACUCUCAUAGAGGAAUGGCUUGUCAGCUUUAUACUUGCCGAGGCUAGACUGGCAGUAAAAAUGAGUUGGGUAGUUAAAGUGGCAUUCGUUAUAUUGGCCUAUAAAAGGAUCAGGUCCGUGAUAAUACCUCUACAAACACGCAAUAAUAAAACAAUAGUUACAGAAGAAACUUGAAAGGUUUGCAAGGUUUCUCUUAUUCCUGUUGAAAUAAUCAUUUAUUAUCUCUUUGUUCAGUGUUAAUAAGGUAACCCAUGGCAGAAAAAUUUGAGUAACAGUUCAUCAUGCAGAGGAUAUGGUCAAGAUAUUACCUAAUGGCUUUAUCCUGAAAAAGGUGUAUACGUUGACAAUGUGAGUGAAUCCAAGAUGGUGAAAUUUCCCAUGGCAGAUGGCAUGGGCACACUUGAUUUUUAUUGUGAGUGAAUGUAAUCAUUCUGUAUUUUACCAGAGGUGUAGAAAUUAGCCCAAAAGUUUCCUCAACACUUUAAUGGUGUUAGGAAUUUAGUUUUCGUAUUAGUUGUCCUCUAGAGACCGCAGCUUCCUAGUUAUUUCCAUGAUGUUGGGUGUGGCUAAGCUGGGGAUGGGUUCUGCUGAGCCUGCUCUGGUGUAGAGGAAAGCUAUCUUUAUACUACAUCUUUUCUCCACUUUCAGGUAGUGAAAAUAAACUAUGAUUUUAAAAAAAG